CCUACGGGAGGCAGCAGUGGGGAAUAUUGCACAAUGGGCGAAAGCCUGAUGCAGCGACGCCGCGUGAGGGAUGACGGCCUUCGGGUUGUAAACCUCUUUCAGCAGGGAAGAAGCGAGAGUGACGGUACCUGCAGAAGAAGCGCCGGCUAACUACGUGCCAGCAGCCGCGGUAAUACGUAGGGCGCAAGCGUUGUCCGGAAUUAUUGGGCGUAAAGAGCUCGUAGGCGGCUUGUUGCGUCGGUUGUGAAAGCCCGGGGCUUAACCCCGGGUCUGCAGUCGAUACGGGCAGGCUAGAGUGUGGUAGGGGAGAUCGGAAUUCCUGGUGUAGCGGUGAAAUGCGCAGAUAUCAGGAGGAACACCGGUGGCGAAGGCGGAUCUCUGGGCCAUUACUGACGCUGAGGAGCGAAAGCGUGGGGAGCGAACAGGAUUAGAUACCCUGGUAGUCCACGCCGUAAACGUUGGGAACUAGGUGUUGGCGACAUUCCACGUCGUCGGUGCCGCAGCUAACGCAUUAAGUUCCCGCCUGGGGNGUACGCCGCGAGACGAAACGUAACGAAGUAAGUAGUGUUGAGUGUUGACGACGCGACGACGACGGACGAGGAG
Molecule: ribosomal RNA, 603 nt
Filed under: uncultured bacterium
Lineage: Bacteria
Description: bacterial SSU rRNA
Rfam family: Bacterial small subunit ribosomal RNA (bases 1-524)
Source: RNAcentral